This 72-nucleotide transfer RNA is filed under the name Eisenbergiella porci. RNAcentral's name for it is "tRNA-Ile". It matches the Rfam family "tRNA". Rfam says of the family: Transfer RNA (tRNA) molecules are approximately 80 nucleotides in length. Their secondary structure includes four short double-helical elements and three loops (D, anti-codon, and T loops). Further hydrogen bonds mediate the characteristic L-shaped molecular structure. tRNAs have two regions of fundamental functional importance: the anti-codon, which is responsible for specific mRNA codon recognition, and the 3' end, to which the tRNAs corresponding amino acid is attached (by aminoacyl-tRNA synthetases). tRNAs cope with the degeneracy of the genetic code in two manners: having more than one tRNA (with a specific anti-codon) for a particular amino acid; and 'wobble' base-pairing, i.e. permitting non-standard base-pairing at the 3rd anti-codon position. Lineage: Bacteria; Bacillati; Bacillota; Clostridia; Lachnospirales; Lachnospiraceae. The record is from RNAcentral.
AGGGCAGUAGUACAACGGUUAGUACGGUGGCCUUAUAAGCCACUAAAGCGGGUUCAAUUCCCGCCUGCCCUA